UAGCACAGUGGUCAGUGCAGUCUGCCGGAAACAGAAAUACGCGGGUUCAAUUCCCGU
This 57-nucleotide transfer RNA is filed under the name Nippostrongylus brasiliensis. It matches the Rfam family "tRNA", at positions 8 to 63 of the family's 71-position model. From Rfam's summary of the family: Transfer RNA (tRNA) molecules are approximately 80 nucleotides in length. Their secondary structure includes four short double-helical elements and three loops (D, anti-codon, and T loops). The record is from Rfam by way of RNAcentral. Lineage: Eukaryota; Metazoa; Nematoda; Chromadorea; Rhabditida; Heligmosomidae.